The sequence is a ribosomal RNA, 1998 nucleotides long. It matches the Rfam family "Bacterial small subunit ribosomal RNA". The record is from Rfam.
UACUGAUAUUUUUUUACCAAGGUGGUGGUCUAUAGCUAGGCCUAGAGGAUGAUCAACCUCACUGGGAAUAAGACAAAGCCCGUCAGUGGGAAAUUUUUUGCUAUGGGCGAUAGCCCGACGGGGUAACUCCGAAUUGAAGUAGGAGGCCCAUGAGUCAUGAACUUCUUUUCUCGAAGAAGAAGUAAUGAUGGUAUUUAGGAAAUAAGCAUCGGCUAACUAUGUGCCAACAGCCGAGGUAAUACAGAGGACGUAAGCAUUAUCUGGACUGAUUAGGCACAAAGCAUAAGUAGGUGGCUUUUUAAGUCUGCUGUCAAAUUCCAAGGCUUGGCCCUCGACACUCGACAAGCAGUGGAAACUGCCUAGACAUGGCAAUAUUCUCCACCACCCUCGAACUCAUAGGCCCUCGAUGAAUUCAGGUCCGGUCAGAGCCCCAAAAUAUCUCAAAAAUAAAACCGGGCCAUUUUGGAGAUAGGGCCAAGACCCAAAGAAAUUUGGGGUUUGGAUUCGGGAAUUUUUUUUUAAGUCUUAGAACCUAAAUCCGAAAUAUUUUUAAAUUCAUUAAAUUAUCAUGUUUUUAAAUAUUUUUUAAUUUCUUAUCAUAGAUUAUUCCGGCAGUGUUAGUUUUAACAUCUUUCAAUAAUUUCUAUAAGAAAAAAGAAUCUUUCAAUAAUUCGAUUCCUCAAGGAAAAGACCAUCAUUUUUAUACUACAAGAGUUUUUAAGUUAAGAGUAUUUGACAAGAGAAACAUUUAAUAUAUAUUUUGGGCAAUAUAUAUUUUGUCGAUGGGGGGAGAGUUCUGCAGAUUGUUAAAUAUCAUGCAUAUUCUGCACAAACUUUGGGGAUUUAUAGACUGCAGAUUGAUCAUAAAUUCCGAAUAAGUUUCAAACACUUGAAAAUAUCAGAUUAAACAGAAGGAACAUCAUUUGAACUGUUUAAAUGUCCCAGCUUCAAAAUCAGUCCCUAAUAAAUAAAUUAUCCAAACUCAGUUUGGGUGCUCUUGCAUGCUAAUGGCCUAAGUUCUCUAAUAAAUAGUUAUCCAAAAAGAACCUAAUUUUACUAAGAACUAACCAAACUAGGGAUCCAGCAUCCUUUUUAAUCUUUGCUCCAUUCAAGGAUUAUCGGUGAUAAUCCCGAAUUAUCCCCAAUAGAAAUUUUUUGGUACGGGGUGAGUAUGGGGAUUACUUAUUAUUCGAGAUGGUGCCCCGCCCUGAACCAGCCCCAUUGCCAUCCCUAAAACUAUAAAGUUAGAGAAAGGUGGGAGCGGAGGAAAUUUUCAGUAGAGCAGUGAAAUGCUUAGAGAUCGGAAAGAACACCCACGAAGAAAGCACUAAGAAACGAAAGGUAGGGGAGUGAAACGAAAGCACUAAUAGUCGUAGCCUUAAACGAUGGAUACUCGACGUUGUGGUUAUCAACCUAUACACUGAUGUGGCUAACGCAUUAAAUAUCCUCCUUGGGGAGUAUAUUUGCACGAAUGAAACUCAAAAGCAAUUGACAGGGGCCUGCAUAAGCGGUGGAGCAUCUAGUUUAAUUCAAUGCAAAGUGAAGAACCUACCUGGGGCUUGACAUGCCGGGGAAUCCCCUUGAAGGACAGGAGUGCCUUAAGGAACGCGGGAAUAGGUGGUGCAUGUCUAUCGUCAACUCUGCCAUAAGGUGUUGGAUUAAGGUUCGCAACAAUUGCAACCCUCGUGCUUAGCUGCCACCUUCAAAUUUGGAACCCUGAGCAGGCUAUCAGUGAUAUAAGCCGAAGAAAGGUGAUGAUGAUGUCAAGUCAUCGUGCCCCUUAUGCCUUGGGCAACACACGUGUUACAAUGGCCAGGCCAAAGGGUCGAGAUCUCGCAAGGGUGAGCUAACUCCAAGAAUUCGUUCUUAAUUCGGAUUGAAAGCUGCAACUCGCUUGCACGAAGCUGGAAUCGCUAGUAAUUCCCGGUUAGCCAUAAGGUGGUGAAUUUGUUCUUGGGCCUUGUACACACCGCAAGGUGGAGUCAUGAUGCUUGAUUA